Molecule: unclassified non-coding RNA, 269 nt
Filed under: plant metagenome
Description: partial contains small subunit ribosomal RNA, internal transcribed spacer 1, and 5.8S ribosomal RNA
Source: RNAcentral
UUUCCGUAGGUGAACCAGCGGAAGGAUCAUUAAUGAGUUGUCAUGGGGUUCGAUGCUGGCAGCCAAUUUUUGGAUGCAUGUGCUUGCCCUAACAAUCAUCUUCCAAACACCUGUGCACAUUUUUGAGGGAGUCUUGAGUUGGUUGCCGCUCUUGGGUGAUUUUCUCACAUUCCCUUAAAUCAUUAUACGCUAUUAACAAUGUUGAACGUGCUCUGUGCCGCAAGGCUAUUAAUAUAAUACAACUUUUAACAACGGAUCUCUUGGCUCUC